CCUACGGGAGGCACCAGUGGGGAAUAUUGCACAAUGGGCGCAAGCCUGAUGCAGCCAUGCCGCGUGUAUGAAGAAGGCCUUCGGGUUGUAAAGUACUUUCAGCAGUGAGGAAGGUGGAUAUGUUAAUAGCAUACUCAUUUGACGUUAGCUGCAGAAGAAGCACCGGCUAACUCCGUGCCAGCAGCCGCGGUAAUACGGAGGGUGCGAGUGUUAAUCGGAAUUACUGGGCGUAAAGCGCAUGCAGGUGGUUAGUUAAGUCAGAUGUGAAAGCCCGGGGCUCAACCUCGGAAUUGCAUUUGAAACUGGCAAACUAGAGUACUGUAGAGGGGGGUAGAAUUUCAGGUGUAGCGGUGAAAUGCGUAGAGAUCUGAAGGAAUACCGGUGGCGAAGGCGGCCCCCUGGACAGAUACUGACACCCAGAUGCGAAAGCGUGGGGAGCAAACAGGAUUAGAUACCCGCGUAGUC
Molecule: ribosomal RNA, 465 nt
Filed under: uncultured bacterium
Lineage: Bacteria
Description: bacterial SSU rRNA
Rfam family: Bacterial small subunit ribosomal RNA
Source: RNAcentral